This 778-nucleotide long non-coding RNA is filed under the name Homo sapiens (human). RNAcentral describes it as "HSALNT0405131". The record is from RNAcentral. Lineage: Eukaryota; Metazoa; Chordata; Mammalia; Primates; Hominidae.
UGAUCAGCCCGCCUCGGCCUACCAAAGUGCCGGGAUUUAAGGCGUGAGCCACAGCGCCCGGCCCCGAGAGUGAAUAUCUUUUAACAGUGUUUUUCCUGAUCUUUUCCAACAUCUUCAUUGUGGUUCUGUCCUUUAUUUUUUGGUUAAAUCCAGAGGUUUACUUCUGCCUGUAUCUUUCCAAACUAUUAAUCUGUUCACAAUCACUCUCCCAUUUAAACCCUUCAGCAACCCCAGUACCUUCGUAAUAAGGUCUCCUUAGCUUGGUAUCCAGAACACUUCAAUACUGGGCUUUGACCCCUGUUCUCCUUCCCCCACCUCUGUUUAGGUGCUUCACUGAGCUGCACCGAACAGCUCUUGGCCCCUUGAAAUCUCUGCAGUCUCCUUGUCUCCCUCUGCUGGAAUAUUCUUCUCUCACUUCAUCUGAUCAUUGCCUUCAAAACUCAGCUCAUUUUCUUAUUUCCUUGCCCUUUCCAUGUCCCUUGUUUUCCUCUGAUUAAAUUAAUGUUCCAAACUCAAAAGAAAAACAACUCAGCUCAGGCAUCACCUUUCCUGGAAGGCUUCCCUAGUCCUCCUGCCUCCCGCAGACUUGUCUGGCACCCUGUGCAUUUGGGAUUUGGCACACUAUGUCUCGUCUGCGGCCUCCACUGGACGAUGAGACCUGUUCUUGGGGAAGAUCCCGACUAAGCCAUUUUCCAGUGGCACCUCUUCCACCAUGAGUUCCUGAGGCAGUCCGAUGGGGCUACUUUAUUCCAGAACAAUCACAAUUUCCUUGUAAAUG